CCCUUAGAUGUUCUGGGCCGCACGCGCGCUACACUGAUGCAUUCAACGAGUCUAAAACCUGCUCUGAUAGGGGUGGGUAAUCUUUUGAAUGUGCAUCGUGAUUGGGAUAGAUGAUUGCAAUUUUUCAUCUUCAACGAGGAAUGCCUAGUAAACGCAAGUCAUCAGCUUGCAUUGAUUACGUCCCUGCCCUUUGUACACACCGCCCGUCGCUCCUACCGAUUGAAUGAUCCGAUGAAUAUCAUGGAUUGAGGAUUAUAGCAGGUUCGCCCGUCUUGAUCUUCGAGAAGUGAAGUAAAUCUUAUCAUUUAGAGGAAGGAGAAGUCGUAACA
Molecule: ribosomal RNA, 329 nt
Filed under: uncultured eukaryote
Lineage: Eukaryota
Description: partial 18S ribosomal RNA
Rfam family: Eukaryotic small subunit ribosomal RNA
Source: RNAcentral